Long non-coding RNA from Fundulus heteroclitus (mummichog), 409 nucleotides. RefSeq lists it as uncharacterized. The record is from RefSeq and is a predicted model, not a curated record. NCBI's taxonomy places the organism in Eukaryota, Metazoa, Chordata, Actinopteri, Cyprinodontiformes, Fundulidae. The transcript has 3 exons.
GUUCCGACGGAGAGCAGGAGCGUAACUGGUUCUGGAGUGAUGGCUCUCGCUUCCUCUUCAGAAACUGGUGCUCAUCAAGGCCUUCAAGCAGCCGUAGUCUUAACUGCCUCGCGAUGAACUAUUCAUCUCGCAAAUGUGGGAUAGACUACCCAUGCACAUACCGAUACCCGUUUGUCUGUGUACGGGGUUAAGACCAGAGCUGAAGGAACAUCCCAAACAAGACGUCUAAUCAAUUCUACUUUUCUUUUAUUCUCUCCCGCUGCUGUAACGCUGAGAAAUGAGUGAAGCGACAAGAUUCAGGAGGUGGAAUGUCUCUUUGGUCACAUGGCAAAGAGCAAAUGGAAUGUAGUCUGGAAAGAAUGCUUUUAGCUCAACUAAACCUUACCCUGUUUUCUAUUUCAAAAUUAAA